Molecule: ribosomal RNA, 293 nt
Filed under: uncultured bacterium
Lineage: Bacteria
Description: partial 16S ribosomal RNA
Rfam family: Bacterial small subunit ribosomal RNA
Source: RNAcentral
GUGCCAGCCGCCUGCGGUAAUACGGAGGGUGCAAGCGUUAUCCGGAUUUAUUGGGUUUAAAGGGUGCGUAGGCGGCCUUUUAAGUCAGCGGUGAAAUCCCACAGCUCAACUGUGGAACUGCCGUUGAUACUGGAAGGCUUGAGUAAAGUCGAGGCGGGCGGAACUGGUGGUGUAGCGGUGAAAUGCAUAGAUACCACCAAGAACCCCGAUUGCGAAGGCAGCUCGCUGGGCUUUAACUGACGCUGAGGCACGAAAGCGUGGGGAGCGAACAGGAUUAGAAACCCGGGUAGUCC